RNAcentral lists this ribosomal RNA (449 nucleotides) under uncultured bacterium. RNAcentral describes it as "bacterial SSU rRNA". It matches the Rfam family "Bacterial small subunit ribosomal RNA", at positions 29 to 524 of the family's 1533-position model. The record is from RNAcentral.
AAUGAACGCUGGCGGCAUGCCUAACACAUGCAAGUCGAACGAAGCCUUCGGGCUUAGUGGCGCACGGGUGCGUAACGCGUGGGAAUCUGCCCUUGGGUUCGGAAUAACAGUUAGAAAUGACUGCUAAUACCGAAUGAUGUCGUAAGACCAAAGAUUUAUCGCCCAGGGAUGAGCCCGCGUAGGAUUAGCUAGUUGGUGUGGUAAAGGCGCACCAAGGCGACGAUCCUUAGCUGGUCUGAGAGGAUGAUCAGCCACACUGGGACUGAGACACGGCCCAGACUCCUACGGGAGGCAGCAGUGGGGAAUAUUGGACAAUGGGCGAAAGCCUGAUCCAGCAAUGCCGCGUGAGUGAUGAAGGCCUUAGGGUUGUAAAGCUCUUUACCCGGGAUGAUAAUGACAGUACCGGGAGAAUAAGCUCCGGCUAACUCCGUGCCAGCAGCCGCGGUAAU